GUGCUCGCUUUGGCAGCUCAUAUACUAAAGUUGGAUCAAUACAGAGAAGAUUAGCAUGGCCUCUGAGCAAGGAUGGCAUGCAAAUUCAUCAAGCAUUCUGUAUUUAU
This 107-nucleotide small nuclear RNA is filed under the name Microcebus murinus (gray mouse lemur). The record is from RNAcentral. Lineage: Eukaryota; Metazoa; Chordata; Mammalia; Primates; Cheirogaleidae.